ACUCCUGCCUCCUAGACUGAGGAAAGAAAAGCCUCCUGGUUUGGAGCUCAUAAUCAAGUCAGCCUUGCUGCAGGGCUCAUUUUAAGCCAGUAUCCUGGACCAGAUAAGGAAGCUGAAGCUUUGAGAAUUUAAUUUGCUCAAGGGGAGGCCAGGACAAGAAAUAAUGAAGAGUCCGAUGUGGCAGGAAUGUAGGAAACAAGUCAAUGAUGGAAGAUAAAUAUGGAGACGUGAUGAAGGCAAAAUUCUGAAGGGUCUUAGAGCCCAUUAUAAGACGUUUGGUUUUUAUGACUAUGCCGUGCAAGACUUGGUAAACUGGUCCCUACCGCAGAGGAUUUUAUACAGAGCACGCUAGUGGCUCACAGAAUAUUUCACUGAUUGCCUUGCCCGCUUCUCAAAGGCCCACUUCUCUGUGGAAUGAUGCAGUUGCUAAGAAGAGCUGUUAAUGUCAUGACCUCAAUGAAUAAAAAAGACUUCCUUUUCUCCAUGCCCACUCAAGUAAAAGGCUUCUCUCUGAACUCCUGCUAAUUUUUCAUCAGCAAAGGUGCACAGCCUUUUGGAAGUGAAAUGAUUACUAGUGAAGAAAAAGAAAGAACCUAA
RNAcentral lists this long non-coding RNA (597 nucleotides) under Homo sapiens (human). RNAcentral's name for it is "non-protein coding lnc-PDGFD-1:8". The record is from RNAcentral. Lineage: Eukaryota; Metazoa; Chordata; Mammalia; Primates; Hominidae.